RNAcentral lists this ribosomal RNA (457 nucleotides) under uncultured bacterium. RNAcentral describes it as "bacterial SSU rRNA". It matches the Rfam family "Bacterial small subunit ribosomal RNA", at positions 76 to 524 of the family's 1533-position model. The record is from RNAcentral.
GCUAAAUGUCCGGUCCGACCGAAGUCGGCGGACGGGUGAGUAACGCGUAGGAAUCUACCCGAGUAGUGGGGGAUAGCAAGGGAAACUUUGGGUAAUACCGCUACGAUCUAAGGAUGAAAGGGGGCCUCUCUUUGAUGCUCUCGCUAUUAGAUGAGCCUGCGUAAGAUUAGCUUGUUGGUGGGGUAAUGGCCCACCAAGGCGACGAUCUUUAGCUGGUCUGAGAGGAUGAUCAGUCACACUGGAACUGAGACACGGUCCAGACUCCUACGGGAGGCAGCACUCGGGAAUAUUGGACAAUGGGGGAAACCCUGAUCCAGCCAUGCCGCGUGUGUGAAGAAGGCCCUAGGGUUGUAAAGCACUUUUAAUAGUGAGGAAGGCUCAGUAGUUAAUACCUACUGGGAGUGACGUUAGCUACAAAAAAAGCACCGGCUAAUUUCGUGCCCGCAGCCGCGGGAAU